Molecule: transfer RNA, 87 nt
Filed under: Desulfovibrio sp.
Lineage: Bacteria; Pseudomonadati; Thermodesulfobacteriota; Desulfovibrionia; Desulfovibrionales; Desulfovibrionaceae
Description: tRNA-Leu
Rfam family: tRNA
About the family: Transfer RNA (tRNA) molecules are approximately 80 nucleotides in length. Their secondary structure includes four short double-helical elements and three loops (D, anti-codon, and T loops).
Source: RNAcentral
GCCCGGGUGGUGGAACAGGCAGACACAGGAGACUUAAAAUCUCCCGGCUGUAAGGCUGUGCGGGUUCGAGUCCCGCCCUGGGCACCA